RNAcentral lists this ribosomal RNA (481 nucleotides) under Pseudomonas sp. 01WB04.1-93. Its description in RNAcentral is "bacterial SSU rRNA". It matches the Rfam family "Bacterial small subunit ribosomal RNA", at positions 1 to 485 of the family's 1533-position model. Lineage: Bacteria; Pseudomonadati; Pseudomonadota; Gammaproteobacteria; Pseudomonadales; Pseudomonadaceae. The record is from RNAcentral.
UAGAGUUUGAUCAUGGCUCAGAUUGAACGCUGGCGGCAGGCCUAACACAUGCAAGUCGAGCGGUAGAGAGGAGCUUGCUCCUCUUGAGAGCGGCGGACGGGUGAGUAAUGCCUAGGAAUCUGCCUGGUAGUGGGGGAUAACGUUCGGAAACGGACGCUAAUACCGCAUACGUCCUACGGGAGAAAGCAGGGGACCUUCGGGCCUUGCGCUAUCAGAUGAGCCUAGGUCGGAUUAGCUAGUUGGUGAGGUAAUGGCUCACCAAGGCGACGAUCCGUAACUGGUCUGAGAGGAUGAUCAGUCACACUGGAACUGAGACACGGUCCAGACUCCUACGGGAGGCAGCAGUGGGGAAUAUUGGACAAUGGGCGAAAGCCUGAUCCAGCCAUGCCGCGUGUGUGAAGAAGGUCUUCGGAUUGUAAAGCACUUUAAGUUGGGAGGAAGGGCAGUAAAUUAAUACUUUGCUGUUUGACGUACCGACAGA